This 833-nucleotide ribosomal RNA is filed under the name Staphylococcus pseudintermedius. RNAcentral describes it as "partial 23S ribosomal RNA". It matches the Rfam family "Bacterial large subunit ribosomal RNA", at positions 1471 to 2303 of the family's 2925-position model. Lineage: Bacteria; Bacillati; Bacillota; Bacilli; Caryophanales; Staphylococcaceae. The record is from RNAcentral.
GACGCAGUAGGAUAGGCGAAGCGUGCUGUUGGAGUGCACGUCCAAGCAGUGAGAUUGAGUGUUAGGCAAAUCCGGCACUCUUAAGAUUGAGCUGUGAUGGGGAGAGGAACUUGUUCCUCGAGUCGUUGAUUUCACACUGCCGAGAAAAGCCUCUAGCUAGAAUAACGGUGCCCGUACCGCAAACCGACACAGGUAGUCAAGAUGAGAAUUCUAAGGUGAGCGAGCGAACUCUCGUUAAGGAACUCGGCAAAAUGACCCCGUAACUUCGGGAGAAGGGGUGCUCUUUGAGGUUCACGCUUCGAAGAGCCGCAGUGAAUAGGCCCAAGCGACUGUUUAUCAAAAACACAGGUCUCUGCUAAACCGUAAGGUGACGUAUAGGGGCUGACGCCUGCCCGGUGCUGGAAGGUUAAGAGGAGUGGUUAGCGCAAGCGAAGCUACGAAUCGAAGCCCCAGUAAACGGCGGCCGUAACUAUAACGGUCCUAAGGUAGCGAAAUUCCUUGUCGGGUAAGUUCCGACCCGCACGAAAGGCGUAACGAUUUGGGCACUGUCUCAACGAGAGACUCGGUGAAAUCAUAGUACCGGUGAAGAUGCCGGUUACCCGCGACAGGACGGAAAGACCCCGUGGAGCUUUACUGUAGCCUGAUAUUGAAAUUCGGUACAGUUUGUACAGGAUAGGUAGGAGCCUUAGAAGCGUGAGCGCUAGCUUACGUGGAGGCAUUGGUGGGAUACUACCCUAAUUGUAUUGGAUUUCUAACCCGCAGCACUUAUCGUGCUGGGAGACAGUGUCAGGCGGGCAGUUUGACUGGGGCGGUCGCCUCCUAAAGAGUAACGG